UUGAGUUGGAGUAAAUUGGGUGGGUAUUAAUGCUUGAAUGACAGAAGAGUGGGCAGGGCUAGGUGCUUGAGAGGCAGCAGACUGGGAGGGGCUAGGUUCUUGAGCGGCAGCAGACUGGGAGGGGGCUAAUUGCUUGAGUUGGAGUAGACUGGGUCUUCCUCAGUGUUAGGUGAAAAUCAAAACGCCGUGUCAUGUCUUGUGAAUGAUGGAUCCCAGGUGCUGAUCUCCUUAUUUUUUCAUUUGCCUUGUCUGCCUUUACAGGAUCAAAUGCUUUUGGACGUACUGCACCUCUUUAUCAUCUCUUUAAGCAAAGCAUUCACAGCAAUAUAAGAAUCUAAAAUGUCAAACUGAAACCUGACACACAUUGACAACUGUCAGCGUCUAUCAUGUCAGGCGUCCUGAUCUUCCUAAUGAGCUGCCAGGACCCUGCCAAGAAGAUCACAGAGGAGA
Erpetoichthys calabaricus (reedfish) is the source of this 450-nucleotide long non-coding RNA. RefSeq lists it as uncharacterized. The transcript has 3 exons. NCBI's taxonomy places the organism in Eukaryota, Metazoa, Chordata, Cladistia, Polypteriformes, Polypteridae. The record is from RefSeq and is a predicted model, not a curated record.